AUGGCUCGUUCAUUCAGGCUCUCCUGGCUUUGCACUCUGUUGUGGAGCUGCUUGUGCUUUCCUCCUGAAGAAGGUUACAGUAGUGCACAUGGCUACUAUCUCUAUGAGAGCCCGCAAACCUCUAGCAGAUUUCAUUCUGGACAGUCUUUGAAUACAAACAAUGAGAAUGUUGGACGGCAAAGCUUUGUUUCCCGUCAGCCAGAAGCAUUUACUUAUGAUAAAGGACAGGAUGCUACCGCUGAGAUGAAGCAAAGCCAGCCUGAUAAGUUUCACGGGGCCUCUUCUGCUCCUCUUAUAGAGCAAAAUGAGCAGUCUGGUUAUCACCAUCCCUUUGACCUUUUAGUGAGGGGAAACAUGCAGGAGCCUGUGAAGGGUGUCGCUUUCCCCACAAUGAGUCAUUUAAAGGAGUUUAUAGAAAACAUGAAGCAUUCCUUCUUAGUACCAGGAAGUGACUUGAGUAGACAUUUUGAAACUGCACGGGAAAAAAUGAAAACUCUCGGAACAUCCAUGGACUAUAGACCAACUCCUGAAAAAGGAGGCACUGCCUCUGGUGACAGCAAGAAAAAUAAUGAUCGGAUUGAAGAAGAUGCCAACUACCAAACGCCAAAUAAACUCCUCUCUUUCCCUGAUCCUGUCGACUCCUCUGCAAGUCUCAUUUCUUCCAGUGUUUAUGACAACCAAAAAUUUAGGCCGGGCACCACUUUCUACCCACACGAUCAUUUAGCAGCCACAGGUCUUGCUUCAAGAAAUUUGGCACACGGUUUUCCCUGGGGAAACAAUGACUUAUCUGUGAGUGUGGAUUCAGAACAAUACAAACCACCAAAAAAAACACAAUUUCCCUCCAGCUCCUUUCACAGGCAGGGUUCUUCCUAUAGUAAACAUGUGACUGCACCCCCUGUGAACCCUGCAAACAGCCCAUCUCAAGAUUUCAGCCAGUAUUCAAGUGAGACCUCAAAUUUAACACCUUAUUGGAAGGAUAUGCUAAAUCCAGUACAUGUCUCUCAAAGUAGAGAUCCUUUAAUGAGGUACUGGAGACCACCCAGUGGCUUUGAACUCACUAAAGACUUCCACAGAGCAAGUCAAACUAAUGUCCCAUCUGCAAAAAUCCUACCAUCUGUAUAUUCCUAUGGUAAAAAGCAUCACCCCUCCAUGCAGCAUUAUUGGCCCAAAUACAAGACAAGAAUAGGUGCUUCAGUCCAGGCACGUCAACCUACUGAGAGCAAAGAGUUGAGGACUGUAAAAUAUGCUCCCAACGUCCACUGGCCUCCAUCAAGUGGUUCUGUCUCUUUAAGCUUUAAUGACCCCUUACCCCAGUGGAGAAGAGGUCACAUGGGUUAUCAAAGCAGCCCACAAUACCCGCAAAUUCCUCAUUAUAAGCAAAAACAGAUGGACAGAGCUCACUGGAUGUUUACCGCCAAACCCUUGAGUUUUGUUCCCGGAUACCACAAAGUCAGUGCUGUUCCCUUCGUCCUAAAUGCCCAUGCAAAACAUGAGAAUUCAAACCUCUACAAUCAAAAACUCCUAUCUACCUUUCAGAAACCGCAUUACAAUAGAUUGAGAAAUCCACCCCAGAGUGGGCUCGCAUCUUAUGGAGUAAGAAACCCACUGGGCUCAUUUUCUAAACCACAGAGGCAAACUGUGAGGUCUGAACGUUUACAGCCUUUCAUGCAACCAAACAGGCACAUGCCUCGAGCCAGUGUGAGUAGACGGCCCAGACACUUGGCCAACUGGCGUUCUGAACAGCAGCCUAAACCUACAGGUUUGAUGCCUAAGUGUGUUAUUAAGAGGAACACAAAAAGCCUUCCUCCUCAAGAGUCCCGUAAUACAUCUCCAUCAUCUCUAAAUCCAUACGUUAAAUCUAAAAACCGCUUCACACGGGCCGUAGCAUAUCUGUCAAAGGUCUGUUUCACACCCCGUAUGGUGCAAGGGAAGAAUAAUAACAAUCAGUGGAGACUGGUAAGAAGAUGGCGUGAAUGA
RNAcentral lists this long non-coding RNA (1977 nucleotides) under Oreochromis niloticus (Nile tilapia). Its description in RNAcentral is "lncRNA (ENSONIG00000037424.1)". The record is from RNAcentral. Lineage: Eukaryota; Metazoa; Chordata; Actinopteri; Cichliformes; Cichlidae.